AACGAACGCUGGCGGCAUGCCUAACACAUGCAAGUCGAACGAGACCUUCGGGUCUAGUGGCGCACGGGUGCGUAACGCGUGGGAACCUGCCCUUAGGUUCGGAAUAACUCUCCGAAAGGGGUGCUAAUACCGGAUAAUGUCUUCGGACCAAAGAUUUAUCGCCUUUGGAGGGGCCCGCGUUGGAUUAGCUAGUUGGUAGGGUAAAAGCCUACCAAGGCGACGAUCCAUAGCUGGUCUGAGAGGAUGAUCAGCCACACUGGGACUGAGACACGGCCCAGACUCCUACGGGAGGCAGCAGUGGGGAAUAUUGGACAAUGGGCGAAAGCCUGAUCCAGCAAUGCCGCGUGAGUGAUGAAGGCCUUAGGGUUGUAAAGCUCUUUUACCCGGGAUGAUAAUGACAGUACCGGGAGAAUAAGCUCCGGCUAACUCCGUG
Molecule: ribosomal RNA, 433 nt
Filed under: uncultured bacterium
Lineage: Bacteria
Description: partial 16S ribosomal RNA
Rfam family: Bacterial small subunit ribosomal RNA
Source: RNAcentral